This 1346-nucleotide ribosomal RNA is filed under the name uncultured bacterium. RNAcentral's name for it is "partial 16S ribosomal RNA". It matches the Rfam family "Bacterial small subunit ribosomal RNA", at positions 28 to 1381 of the family's 1533-position model. The record is from RNAcentral.
GACGAACGCUGGCGGCGUGCUUAACACAUGCAAGUCGAACGGAAAGGCCCUGCUUUUGUGGGGUGCUCGAGUGGCGAACGGGUGAGUAACACGUGAGUAACCUGCCCUUGACUUUGGGAUAACUUCAGGAAACUGGGGCCAAUACCGGAUAGGAGCUCCUGCUGCAUGGUGGGGGUUGGAAAGUUUCGGCGGUUGGGGAUGGACUCGCGGCUUAUCAGCUUGUUGGUGGGGUAGUGGCUUACCAAGGCUUUGACGGGUAGCCGGCCUGAGAGGGUGACCGGCCACAUUGGGACUGAGAUACGGCCCAGACUCCUACGGGAGGCAGCAGUGGGGAAUAUUGCACAAUGGGCGGAAGCCUGAUGCAGCAACGCCGCGUGCGGGAUGACGGCCUUCGGGUUGUAAACCGCUUUCGCCUGUGACGAAGCGUGAGUGACGGUAAUGGGUAAAGAAGCACCGGCUAACUACGUGCCAGCAGCCGCGGUGAUACGUAGGGUGCGAGCGUUGUCCGGAUUUAUUGGGCGUAAAGGGCUCGUAGGUGGUUGAUCGCGUCGGAAGUGUAAUCUUGGGGCUUAACCCUGAGCGUGCUUUCGAUACGGGUUGACUUGAGGAAGGUAGGGGAGAAUGGAAUUCCUGGUGGAGCGGUGGAAUGCGCAGAUAUCAGGAGGAACACCAGUGGCGAAGGCGGUUCUCUGGGCCUUUCCUGACGUUGAGGAGCGAAAGCGUGGGGAGCGAACAGGCUUAGAUACCCUGGUAGUCCACGCUGUAAACGGUGGGUACUAGGUGUGGGGUCCAUUCCACGGGUUCCGUGCCGUAGCUAACGCUUUAAGUACCCCGCCUGGGGAGUACGGCCGCAAGGCUAAAACUCAAAGGAAUUGACGGGGCCCCGCACAAGCGGCGGAGCAUGCGGAUUAAUUCGAUGCAACGCGUAGAACCUUACCUGGGUUUGACAUGGAUCGGGAGUGCUCAGAGAUGGGUGUGCCUCUUUUGGGGUCGGUUCACAGGUGGUGCAUGGCUGUCGUCAGCUCGUGUCGUGAGAUGUUGGGUUAAGUCCCGCAACGAGCGCAACCCUUGUUCACUGUUGCCAGCACGUUAUGGUGGGGACUCAGUGGAGACCGCCGGGGUCAACUCGGAGGAAGGUGGGGAUGACGUCAAGUCAUCAUGCCCCUUAUGUCCAGGGCUUCACGCAUGCUACAAUGGCUGGUACAGAGAGUGGCGAGCCUGUGAGGGUGAGCGAAUCUCGGAAAGCCGGUCUCAGUUCGGAUUGGGGUCUGCAACUCGACCUCAUGAAGUCGGAGUCGCUAGUAAUCGCAGAUCAGCAACGCUGCGGUGAAUACGUUCCCGGGGCU